AUUGAACGCUGGCGGCAGGCCUAACACAUGCAAGUCGAGCGAGCGGCGGACGGGUGAGUAAUGUCUGGGAAACUGCCUGAUGGAGGGGGAUAACUACUGGAAACGGUAGCUAAUACCGCAUACCAUCAGAUGUGCCACGAUGGGAUUAGCUAGUAGGUGGGGUAACGGCUCACCUAGGCGACGAUCCUUAGCUGGUCUGAGAGGAUGACCGGCCACACUGGAACUGGAACACGGCCCAGACUCCUAGGGAAGGCAGCAUGGGGGAAUAUUGCACAAUGGGCGCAAUCCGGAUGCGGCCAUGCGGCGUGUGUGAAGAAGGCCUUAGGGUUGUAAAGCACUUUCAGCGGGGAGGCGUUACCCGCAGAAGAAGCACCGGCUAACUCCGUGCCAGCAGCCGCGGUAAUUC
RNAcentral lists this ribosomal RNA (406 nucleotides) under uncultured bacterium. RNAcentral's name for it is "partial 16S ribosomal RNA". It matches the Rfam family "Bacterial small subunit ribosomal RNA", at positions 30 to 526 of the family's 1533-position model. The record is from RNAcentral.